CCCGCACAAGCGGUGAGCAUGUGGUUUAAUUCGAAGCAACGCGAAGAACCUUACCAGGUCUUGACAUCCCGAUGCUAUUUCUAGAGAUAGAAAGUUACUUCGGUACAUCGGUGACAGGUGGUGCAUGGUUGUCGUCAGCUCGUGUCGUGAGAUGUUGGGUUAAGUCCCGCAACGAGCGCAACCCCUAUUGUUAGUUGCCAUCAUUCAGUUAGGCACUCUAGCGAGACUGCCGGUAAUAAACCGGAGGAAGGUGGGAUGACGUCAAAUCAUCAUGCCCCUUAUGUUCUGGGCUACACACGUGCUACAAUGGCCGGUACAGACGGACGCAAAGCCGCGAGGUGGAGCAAAUCCUAAAAAGCCGGUCUCAGUUCGGAUUGCAGGCUGCAAUUCGCCUGCAUGAAGUCGGAAUCGCUAGUAAUCGCAGGUCAGCAUACUGCGGUGAAUACGUUCCCGGGCCUU
RNAcentral lists this ribosomal RNA (459 nucleotides) under uncultured Streptococcus sp. RNAcentral's name for it is "bacterial SSU rRNA". It matches the Rfam family "Bacterial small subunit ribosomal RNA", at positions 920 to 1382 of the family's 1533-position model. Lineage: Bacteria; Bacillati; Bacillota; Bacilli; Lactobacillales; Streptococcaceae. The record is from RNAcentral.